Molecule: unclassified non-coding RNA, 287 nt
Filed under: Hevea brasiliensis (rubber tree)
Lineage: Eukaryota; Viridiplantae; Streptophyta; Magnoliopsida; Malpighiales; Euphorbiaceae
Source: RNAcentral
GAAAAGGAUAAAUAGCAGUAGUCAGUGAACUUGUUUGUAUGCGCCUCUGUGAUUUUCUUGUGGGUUCUUCUUCCUACUCUUUUUUCAUAGUUGUUAGUAGUCUAGAUAAUUACUUUUUAUUAGUCAUUCCUUUAACAAGGAAAAUGUUCUGUGAUCAGUUUUCUCUUGUGCUCAUUUUCAUUUCCUGAUAAUAAAUUGUAGAAGCGUGAUAACUUUGUUUUUAACUAGUAAACUAGACUUUUCAAAUCCCAUCUUUUGGUUAAUUAUAAAGAUUUGUUAUCUAUGGU